Molecule: ribosomal RNA, 445 nt
Filed under: uncultured bacterium
Lineage: Bacteria
Description: partial 16S ribosomal RNA
Rfam family: Bacterial small subunit ribosomal RNA
Source: RNAcentral
GUGAGGAAUAUUGGUCAAUGGGCGCGAGCCUGAACCAGCCAAGUAGCGUGAGGGAUGACUGCCCUAUGGGUUGUAAACCUCUUUUGCAGGGGGGUAAAGUGGUUCACGUGUGGACCAUUGCAAGUACCCUGCGAAUAAGGAUCGGCUAACUCCGUGCCAGCAGCCGCGGUAAUACGGAGGAUCCGAGCGUUAUCCGGAUUUAUUGGGUUUAAAGGGAGCGUAGGCGGGGGUUUAAGUCAGCUGUGAAAUGCCGUGGCCCAACCAUGGAACUGCAGUUGAAACUGGACCUCUUGAGAGUACAUAAGGAAGGCGGAAUUCGUGGUGUAGCGGUGAAAUGCAUAGAUAUCACGAAGAACUCCGAUUGCGAAGGCAGCUUUCCGGGGUACAUCUGACGCUGAAGCUCGAAAGUGCGGGAAUCAAACAGGAUUAGAAACCCUUGUAGUCC